AUUGAACGCUGGCGGCAGGCCUAACACAUGCAAGUCGAGCGGAUGAAGGGAGCUUGCUCCUGGAUUCAGCGGCGGACGGGUGAGUAAUGCCUAGGAAUCUGCCUGGUAGUGGGGGAUAACGUCCGGAAACGGGCGCUAAUACCGCAUACGUCCUGAGGGAGAAAGUGGGGGAUCUUCGGACCUCACGCUAUCAGAUGAGCCUAGGUCGGAUUAGCUAGUUGGGGGGGUAAAGGCCUACCAAGGCGGCGAUCCGUAACUGGUCUGAGAGGAUGAUCAGUCACACUGGAACUGAGACAGGGUCCAGACUCCUACGGGAGGCAGCAGUGGGGAAUAUUGGACAAUGGGCGAAAGCCUGAUCCAGCCAUGCCGAGUGUGUGAAGAAGGUCUUCGGAUUGUAAAGCACUUUAAGUUGGGAGGAAGGGCAGUAAGUUAAUACCUUGCUGUUUUGACGUUACCAACAGAAUAAGCACCGGCUAACUUCGUG
RNAcentral lists this ribosomal RNA (484 nucleotides) under uncultured bacterium. RNAcentral's name for it is "partial 16S ribosomal RNA". It matches the Rfam family "Bacterial small subunit ribosomal RNA", at positions 30 to 507 of the family's 1533-position model. The record is from RNAcentral.